This 253-nucleotide ribosomal RNA is filed under the name uncultured bacterium. Its description in RNAcentral is "partial 16S ribosomal RNA". It matches the Rfam family "Bacterial small subunit ribosomal RNA", at positions 524 to 776 of the family's 1533-position model. The record is from RNAcentral.
UACAGAGGUCCCAAGCGUUGUUCGGAUUCACUGGGCGUAAAGGGUGCGCAGGUGGGUUUGCAAGUUCGAUGUGAAAGCCCCGGGCUUAACCCGGGAAUGGCAUUGGAUACUGCAGAUCUGGAGGAUCGGAGGGGGGACUGGAAUUCUUGGUGUAGCAGUGAAAUGCGUAGAUAUCAAGAGGAACACCUGUGGCGAAGGCGAGUCCCUGGACGACACCUGACACUGAGGCACGGAAGCUAGGGGAGCAAACAGG